Molecule: long non-coding RNA, 339 nt
Filed under: Hordeum vulgare
Lineage: Eukaryota; Viridiplantae; Streptophyta; Magnoliopsida; Poales; Poaceae
Description: long non-coding RNA (HVUL_LNC020607)
Source: RNAcentral
GCGAGCCCGGGGCUGGCGAUGGCGGCGGCGCGGGGGUGGGGCCGACGACGCGGUGGCCCUUCUUCGUGUUCCUGGCGGGGGCCAUGUUCUGCCUGAUGAGCAGCUGCGCCUGCCACCUGCUCUCCUGCCACUCGCACCGCCUCAACCUCUUCCUCAUCCGCCUCGACUACACCGGCAUCGCCGUCAUGAUCGUCGUCUCCUUCUUCCCGCCCAUCUACUACAUCUUCCAGUGCGAGCCGCGCUGGCAGGUCGCCUACCUCUCCGCCAUCUCGCUCGCCGGCGCCGCCACCGUCUACGCGCUCAUGUCCCCCCGCCUCAGCGACGCCAAGUACCGCGCCC